AAAACAUGAUGAGGGCAUUUACUCAAAAGGCCUUUGAACCUUUCAUGUGCUUCAAAAAGUAUUCUAGAAUCAUCCUGCCUAAACACAGAAAUCUCUUGUCUCAGCUU
Molecule: small nucleolar RNA, 107 nt
Organism: Dioscorea cayenensis subsp. rotundata (Guinea yam)
Lineage: Eukaryota; Viridiplantae; Streptophyta; Magnoliopsida; Dioscoreales; Dioscoreaceae
Source: RefSeq, a predicted model, not a curated record